AUGAACGCUGGCGGCGUGCCUAAUACAUGCAAGUCGAGCGAACAGAUGAGGAGCUUGCUCCUCUGACGUUAGCGGCGGACGGGUGAGUAACACGUGGAUAACCUACCUAUAAGACUGGGAUAACUUCGGGAAACCGGAGCUAAUACCGGAUAAUAUAUUGAACCGCAUGGUUCAAUAGUGAAAGACGGUUUUGCUGUCACUUAUAAAUGGAUCCGCGCCGCAUUAGCUAGUUGGUAAGGUAACGGCUUACCAAGGCAACGAUGCGUAGCCGACCUGAGAGGGUGAUCGGCCACACUGGAACUGAGACACGGUCCAGACUCCUACGGGAGGCAGCAGUAGGGAAUCUUCCGCAAUGGGCGAAAGCUUGACGGAGCAACGCCGCGUGAGUGAUGAAGGUCUUCGGAUCGUAAAACUCUGUUAUUAGGGAAGAACAAAUGUGUAAGUAACUAUGCACGUCUUGACGGUACCUAAUCAGAAAGCCACGGCUAACUACGUG
Molecule: ribosomal RNA, 496 nt
Filed under: uncultured bacterium
Lineage: Bacteria
Description: partial 16S ribosomal RNA
Rfam family: Bacterial small subunit ribosomal RNA
Source: RNAcentral